This 468-nucleotide ribosomal RNA is filed under the name uncultured bacterium. Its description in RNAcentral is "partial 16S ribosomal RNA". It matches the Rfam family "Bacterial small subunit ribosomal RNA", at positions 28 to 507 of the family's 1533-position model. The record is from RNAcentral.
GACGAACGCUGGCGGCGUGCUUAACACAUGCAAGUCGAACGGAAAGGCCCUGCUUUUGUGGGGUGCUCGAGUGGCGAACGGGUGAGUAACACGUGAGUAACCUGCCCUUGACUUUGGGAUAACUUCAGGAAACUGGGGCUAAUACCGGAUAGGAGCUCCUGCUGCAUGGUGGGGGUUGGAAAGUUUCGGCGGUUGGGGAUGGACUCGCGGCUUAUCAGCUUGUUGGUGGGGUAGUGGCUUACCAAGGCUUUGACGGGUAGCCGGCCUGAGAGGGUGACCGGCCACAUUGGGACUGAGAGACGGCCCAGAAUCCUACGGGAGGCAGAAGUGGGGAAUAUUGCACAAUGGGCGGAAGCCUGAUGCAGCAACGCCGCGUGCGGGAUGACGGCCUUCGGGUUGUAAACAGCUUUCGCCUGUGACGAAGAGUGAGUGACGGUAAUGGGUAAAGAAGCACCGGCUAACUACGUG